GUGAAGGCUAUAAACCUGUCUCAGAUCAGCGAUUUGUGUACGUGCGAGGGGGAAAAGAGCGAGGAAAUUCAGUUUUCUAAUCUGUUCAUUUCCUGGCUCCUAGCGCUCUGUAACUUCCCAAUUGCGGAUUUCGUUCCUCCGUGGUUGGUGUCAGUGCGUGCUGCUCCAUGCCCUGCCGCGGGACCGUGCCGCUGGGGGGCUGCGGGCUGCCCCUGCCCUACGGCAGCGCCCCGGGGUACCCGGCGGGGGCGAGGGCGGGCACAGCGCGGAGCCGGAGAGCCCGGGGAGCUCGCAGGAGCGUCGCCCGCUGGCUUCGGGCUUCCCAUUAGAACACCACCACAAAUAGGAAUCAGUCAUCGUUCAAGAGCAUUCAUCUUCCCGACUUUUUUACGGCCUCGUAAUUGCCCCCUCCCUGACAGGCGGAUUUAUGCCCGGCCCGGUGAGGGGAGCUCUGCCGCUCGCUUAGCACCGCCGGCUCCGGCUGGGGGACACGGAGCGGCUGCAGCCCAACCUCCCCCCCUCCCCCCGGCCGCCUUCUGCCGAAUUGUCGCCUCCAACAGCCCCCCGCGCCGCUCUCUCUGUCGCUCCCGCUGGGCCGGGGCUUGCUGCCGGGCUCUCAGCUGCCUCCGGUCCCGGGACGAGGAGCGGGCCUCACUCCCAUCACCUGAAUUUUCCGUGCAAAACUCACGGACCGUCCCGACGCUGUUCGAAAGGGAAACGCUUUCCCUCUCCCUUCCUCUUUCCCUUUCCCCGCUUCCCAGGCAGGCUGCCUCCCGCGGCUCCCGCUCUCCCAGCGGCACCCCCCGGCCCCGUGCCCUUUUCUCGCCGAGGUCGGGCUGUUUGACCCCCCGCGGGGCACGGCAGGGCCCCUCCGGCGGGCAGCGCCCGGGGGGAGGUGAUGGCCUAGAAACCGCGCGGCGCUCCGCGGCGGUGCGGCUGUGCCGCUCCCCUCCCGCUGCCCGCGGCUCUCCCUCUCCUCCCGCGGCGGUCGCGGAGCAGCGGGGG
This 1005-nucleotide long non-coding RNA is filed under the name Numida meleagris (helmeted guineafowl). RNAcentral's name for it is "lncRNA (ENSNMEG00000011040.1)". Lineage: Eukaryota; Metazoa; Chordata; Aves; Galliformes; Numididae. The record is from RNAcentral.